UACUCCUACGGGAGGCAGCAGUAGGGAAUCUUCGGCAAUGGACGGAAGUCUGACCGAGCAACGCCGCGUGAGUGGAGAAGGUUUUCGGAUCGUAAAGCUCUGUUGUAAGAGAAGAACGAGUGUGAGAGUGGAAAGUUCACACUGUGACGGUAUCUUACCAGAAAGGGACGGCUAACUACGUGCCAGCAGCCGCGGUAAUACGUAGGUCCCGAGCGUUGUCCGGAUUUAUUGGGCGUAAAGCGAGCGCAGGCGGUUAGAUAAGUCUGAAGUUAAAGGCUGUGGCUUAACCAUAGUACGCUUUGGAAACUGUUUAACUUGAGUGCAAGAGGGGAGAGUGGAAUUCCAUGUGUAGCGGUGAAAUGCGUAGAUAUAUGGAGGAACACCGGUGGCGAAAGCGGCUCUCUGGCUUGUAACUGACGCUGAGGCUCGAAAGCGUGGGGAGCAAACAGGAUUAGAUACCCUGGUAGUCCACGCCGUAAACGAUGAGUGCUAGGUGUUAGACCCUUUCCGGGGUUUAGUGCCGUAGCUAACGCAUUAAGCACUCCGCCUGGGGAGUACGACCGCAAGGUUGAAACUCAAAGGAAUUGACGGA
This 592-nucleotide ribosomal RNA is filed under the name uncultured bacterium. RNAcentral describes it as "bacterial SSU rRNA". It matches the Rfam family "Bacterial small subunit ribosomal RNA", at positions 334 to 917 of the family's 1533-position model. The record is from RNAcentral.